AAACGGUUUAAUUUUUCUUCCGAAUAAAUCCAUAUUGUCCCGGGUCCUUCUCCUCAUGAUAUUCUUAUUUCCUCAGGAUUUCCGUUCAGCAUUGCUGUAUUCACUGUUUCGUUUUCUCCUUGUACUCCUUCGUCCCUUUACGAAAUUUGUCAGUGGUGCUAGUCCCAUCGUUUUGUACACAUUCUGGCGAGCGGUGUCUUCGCUCCAGGCGCAAUACCCGAGAGGGUGCG
Molecule: non-coding RNA, 230 nt
Organism: Cinara cedri
Lineage: Eukaryota; Metazoa; Arthropoda; Insecta; Hemiptera; Aphididae
Source: the annotation of a GenBank genome assembly